This 3026-nucleotide ribosomal RNA is filed under the name Bradyrhizobium japonicum. RNAcentral describes it as "bacterial LSU rRNA". It matches the Rfam family "Bacterial large subunit ribosomal RNA". Lineage: Bacteria; Pseudomonadati; Pseudomonadota; Alphaproteobacteria; Hyphomicrobiales; Nitrobacteraceae. The record is from RNAcentral.
UGGUUAAGUUACUAAGGGCACACGGUGGAUGCCUUGGCGCUAGGAGCCGACGAAGGACGCAGCGAACUGCGAUAAGCCUCGGGGAGCGGUAAGCACGCUUCGAUCCGGGGAUCUCCGAAUGGGGCAACCCACCAUCCGUAAUGGGAUGGUAUCCGUCACUGAAUACAUAGGUGACGAGAAGGCAGACCCGGUGAACUGAAACAUCUAAGUAGCCGGAGGAAGAGAAAACAAUAGUGAUUCCCCCAGUAGUGGCGAGCGAACGGGGAAGAGCCUAAACCGUCAGGUUUACCUGGCGGGGUUGUGGGGCGUCUCACAUGGAGUUACAAAGGAUUCUUGUAGAUGAACAGUCUGGGAAGGCUGACCAAAGAGCGUGACAGUCGCGUAAUCUAAACACGAAUCCCUCCGAGACCCACCCCGAGUAGCACGGGACACGAGAAAUCCCGUGUGAAUCUGGCAGGACCAUCUGCUAAGGCUAAAUACUACCUAGCGACCGAUAGUGAACCAGUACCGUGAGGGAAAGGUGAAAAGCACCCCGGGAGGGGAGUGAAAUAGUACCUGAAACCGUGUGCUUACAAAUAGUCGGAGCACGAUCAAUGUGUGACGGCGUGCCUUUUGUAGAAUGAACCGGCGAGUUACGGUAGCGUGCGAGGUUAAGUCGAAGAGACGGAGCCGCAGCGAAAGCGAGUCUGAAUAGGGCGCAAGUACGUUGCCGUAGACCCGAAACCGUGUGAUCUAGCCAUGUCCAGGGUGAAGGUAGGGUAACACCUACUGGAGGCCCGAACCCACGCACGUUGAAAAGUGCGGGGAUGAGGUGUGGCUAGCGGUGAAAUUCCAAUCGAACUCGGAGAUAGCUGGUUCUCCCCGAAAUAGCUUUAGGGCUAGCCUCGGAUUGGGACCCCGCCGGACGUGAGCGUAAGCUUGCGUCCGGUGGGACCCUUUAGAGUCUUGGAGGUAGAGCACUGAUUGGGCUAGGGGCCCUCAUCGGGUUACCGAACUCAGUCAAACUCCGAAUGCCAAAGACUUAUGUCCGGGAGUCAGACGGCGAGUGCUAAGAUCCGUCGUCAAGAGGGAAACAGCCCAGACCAUCAGCUAAGGUCCCCAAGUGUAUGUUAAGUGGGAAACGAUGUGGAGUUGCCCAGACAACCAGGAUGUUGGCUUAGAAGCAGCCACCAUUUAAAGAGUGCGUAAUAGCUCACUGGUCGAGUGACUCUGCGCGGAAAAUGUAACGGGGCUAAACAUACCACCGAAGCUAUGGCAGUCCUUACGGACUGGGUAGGGGAGCGUUCCAAGCAGCAGGGAAGCCGUACCGCAAGGAGCGGUGGAGCGCUUGGAAGUGAGAAUGCCGGUGUAAGUAGCGAAAAGACAAGUGAGAAUCUUGUCCACCGAAAGCCUAAGGGUUCCUGGGGAAGGCUCGUCCUCCCAGGGUUAGUCGGGACCUAAGCUGAGGCCGAAAGGCGUAGGCGAUGGACAACUGGUUGAUAUUCCAGUACCACCUCCGUUCCGCUUGAGCAAUGGCGUGACGCAGGAGGAUAGGGUGAGCGGCCGAUUGGAUGGCCGUCCAAGCAGCAAGUGUGGUGUGUAGGCAAAUCCGCACACCAUGAAGCACAAGCUGUGAUGGCGAGGGAAACAUAAGUACCGAAGUCCCUGAUUUCACACUGCCAAGAAAAGCGUCUAGCGAGGAAUGAGGUGCCCGUACCGCAAACCGACACAGGUAGGCGAGGAGAGAAUCCUAAGGUGCGCGGGAUAACUCUUGCUAAGGAACUCGGCAAAAUGGCCCCGUAACUUCGGGAGAAGGGGCGCCCCGGUAGGGUUUAUAGCCCGAGGGGGCCGCAGUGAAAAGGCCCAAGCGACUGUUUAGCAAAAACACAGGUCUCUGCGAAGCCGCAAGGCGAAGUAUAGGGGCUGACGCCUGCCCGGUGCUGGAAGGUUAAGGGGAUGGGUUAGUUUUGGGACCCCGCCGAACGCGAGCGUAAGCUUGGGUUCGGCGGGCCGAAGCGAAGCUUUGAACCGAAGCCCCAGUAAACGGCGGCCGUAACUAUAACGGUCCUAAGGUAGCGAAAUUCCUUGUCGGGUAAGUUCCGACCCGCACGAAAGGCGUAACGACUUGGGCGCUGUCUCGGCAAGAGACCCGGUGAAAUCAUAAUACCUGUGAAGAUGCAGGUUACCCGCGACAAGACGGAAAGACCCCAUGGAGCUUUACUGUAGCCUGGUAUUGGAACUUUGUGCAUCAUGUACAGGAUAGGUGGGAAGCGUGGAAGCAGGGGCGCCAGCCUCUGUGGAGCUGUCGGUGGGAUACCACCCUUGAUGUACGGAGUUUCUAACUUGGCACCCUGAUCGGGUGCAAGGACCAUGCCAGGUGGGCAGUUUGACUGGGGCGGUCGCCUCCUAAAAGGUAACGGAGGCGCCCAAAGGUUCCCUCAGAAUGGUCGGAAAUCAUUCGUAGAGUGUAAAGGCAGAAGGGAGCUUGACUGCGAGACCUACAAGUCGAGCAGGGACGAAAGUCGGGCUUAGUGAUCCGGUGGUUCCGCAUGGAAGGGCCAUCGCUCAACGGAUAAAAGCUACCCUGGGGAUAACAGGCUUAUCUCCCCCAAGAGUCCACAUCGACGGGGAGGUUUGGCACCUCGAUGUCGGCUCAUCGCAUCCUGGGGCUGAAGUAGGUCCCAAGGGUUGGGCUGUUCGCCCAUUAAAGCGGUACGCGAGCUGGGUUCAGAACGUCGUGAGACAGUUCGGUCCCUAUCUGUCGCGGGCGCAGGAAGUUUGAGGAGAGCUGUCCUUAGUACGAGAGGACCGGGAUGGACGCACCGCUGGUGCACCAGUUGUCACGCCAGUGGCACAGCUGGGUAGCUAUGUGCGGACGGGAUAAGCGCUGAAAGCAUCUAAGCGUGAAGCCCCCUCCAAGAUGAGACUUCCCACAGCGUUAAGCUGGUAAGACCCCUCAUAGACGAUGAGGUUGAUAGGUUCGGUGUGGAAGCGCGGCAACGCGUGGAGCUGACGAAUACUAAUCGGUCGAGGGCUUAUCCACAUUC